CCUACGGGAGGCAGCAGUGGGGAAUAUUGCACAAUGGGGGAAACCCUGAUGCAGCGACGCCGCGUGAGUGAAGAAGUAUUUCGGUAUGUAAAGCUCUAUCAGCCGGGAAGAAAAUGACGGUACCUGAUGAAGAAGCCCCGGCUAACUACGUGCCAGCAGCCGCGGUAAUACGUAGGGAGCAAGCGUUAUCCGGAUUUACUGGGUGUAAAGGGAGCGUAGACGGCAGCACAAGUCUGGAGUGAAAUGCCGGGGCUUAACCCCGGAACUGCUUUGGAAACUGUGCAGCUAGAGUGCAGGAGAGGUAAGUGGAAUGCCUAGUGUAGCGGUGAAAUGCGUAGAUAUUAGGAGGAACACCAGUGGCGAAGGCGGCUUACUGGACUGCAACUGACGUUGAGGCUCGAAAGCGUGGGGAGCAAACAGGAUUAGAUACCCUAGUAGUC
Molecule: ribosomal RNA, 440 nt
Filed under: uncultured bacterium
Lineage: Bacteria
Description: partial 16S ribosomal RNA
Rfam family: Bacterial small subunit ribosomal RNA
Source: RNAcentral